UGAACGCUGGCGGCGUGCCUAAUACAUGCAAGUCGAGCGAACGGACGAGAAGCUUGCUUCUCUGAUGUUAGCGGCGGACGGGUGAGUAACACGUGGAUACCCUACCUAUAAGACUGGGAUAACUUCGGGAAACCGGAGCUAAUACCGGAUAAUAUUUUGAACCGCAUGGUUCAAAAGUGAAAGACGGUCUUGCUGUCACUUAUAGAUGGAUCCGCGCUGCAUUAGCUAGUUGGUAAGGUAACGGCUUACCAAGGCAACGAUGCAUAGCCGACCUGAGAGGGUGAUCGGCCACACUGGAACUGAGACACGGUCCAGACUCCUACGGGAGGCAGCAGUAGGGAAUCUUCCGCAAUGGGCGAAAGCCUGACGGAGCAACGCCGCGUGAGUGAUGAAGGUCUUCGGAUCGUAAAACUCUGUUAUUAGGGAAGAACAUAUGUGUAAGUAACUGUGCACAUCUUGACGGUACCUAAUCAGAAAGCCACGGCUAACUACGUG
This 495-nucleotide ribosomal RNA is filed under the name uncultured bacterium. RNAcentral's name for it is "partial 16S ribosomal RNA". It matches the Rfam family "Bacterial small subunit ribosomal RNA", at positions 30 to 507 of the family's 1533-position model. The record is from RNAcentral.